Molecule: ribosomal RNA, 889 nt
Filed under: uncultured bacterium
Lineage: Bacteria
Description: bacterial SSU rRNA
Rfam family: Bacterial small subunit ribosomal RNA
Source: RNAcentral
GAAUUCGCCCUUAGAGUUUGAUCCUGGCUCAGGAUGAACGCUGGCGGUAUGCUUAACACAUGCAAGUCGAACGGUGUUUUCGGACACAGUGGCGGACGGGUGAGUAACGCGUGAGAAUCUGGUCUUGGGUUCGGGACAACCACUGGAAACGGUGGCUAAUACCGGAUAUGCCUAGCGGUAAAAGAUUAAUCGCCUGAGAGUGAGCUCGCGUCUGAUUAGCUAGUUGGUGGGGUAAGAGCCUACCAAGGCGACGAUCAGUAGCUGGUCUGAGAGGACGAUCAGCCACACUGGGACUGAGACACGGCCCAGACUCCUACGGGAGGCAGCAGUGGGGAAUUUUCCGCAAUGGGCGCAAGCCUGACGGAGCAAUACCGCGUGAGGGAGGAAGGCCCUUGGGUUGUAAACCUCUUUUCUCAGGGAAGAAGACAAUGACGGUACCUGAGGAAUCAGCCUCGGCUAACUCCGUGCCAGCAGCCGCGGUAAUACGGAGGAGGCAAGCGUUAUCCGGAAUGAUUGGGCGUAAAGCGUCCGUAGGUGGCAGAGCAAGUCUGCUGUCAAAGGUCUGGGCUUAACCCGGAACAGGCAGUGGAAACUGCACUGCUGGAGUGCGGUAGGGGCAGAGGGAAUUCCUGGUGUAGCGGUGAAAUGCGUAGAGAUCAGGAAGAACACCGGUGGCGCAAGCGCUCUGCUAGGCCGUAACUGACACUGAGGGACGAAAGCUAGGGGAGCGAAUGGGAUUAGAUACCCCAGUAGUCCUAGCCGUAAACGUUGGAUACUAGGCGUGGCUUGUAUCGACCCGAGCCGUGCCGCAGCUAACGCGUUAAGUAUCCCGCCUGGGGAGUACGCGCGCAAGCGUGAAACUCAAAGGAAUUGACGGAAGGGCGAAUUC